GCACCUGAAAUCAUUAGGUUUCUUUCAGAGAGCUCAUG
This 38-nucleotide small RNA is filed under the name Bombyx mori (domestic silkworm). RNAcentral's name for it is "ovarian small RNA-16328". Lineage: Eukaryota; Metazoa; Arthropoda; Insecta; Lepidoptera; Bombycidae. The record is from RNAcentral.